Molecule: ribosomal RNA, 431 nt
Filed under: uncultured bacterium
Lineage: Bacteria
Description: bacterial SSU rRNA
Rfam family: Bacterial small subunit ribosomal RNA
Source: RNAcentral
GUGAGGAAUCUUGCGCAAUGGGCGAAAGCCUGACGCAGCGACGCCGCGUGGAGGAAGAAGGCCUUCGGGUCGUAAACUCCUGUCAAGAGGGACGAAUCUCUAUCGAAUGAAUAAGUCGGUAGGUUGACGGUACCUCUGAAGGAAGCCCCGGCUAACUCCGUGCCAGCAGCCGCGGUAAUACGGAGGGGGCAAGCGUUGUUCGGAAUUAUUGGGCGUAAAGGGCACGUAGGCGGUCAAGUAAGUUGGUGGUGAAAGCCCUCGGCUCAACCGAGGAAUUGCCCCCAAAACUGCUCGACUUGAGUCCCGGAGAGGGUGGCGGAAUUCCCAGUGUAGCGGUGAAAUGCGUAGAUAUUGGGAGGAACACCAGUGGCGAAGGCGGUCACCUGGACGGGUACUGACGCUGAGGUGCGAAAGCGUGGGGAGCAAACAGG